ACGGACGUCUUUUUAUAUGCGUCUUUUCAACGAUGUUACGUAUUUUCAAUGCCGUGAAAAAGAGGUCUUUUCAACUUUCAACCAAAACCGAACGGGCAUAGUCGUCUUUUUAAAGACAGUUUGCUGGGUGGGCAGCUUGCUCAGAUUCUGAAUAAAUUUGUGUCCAUUUCUUUCUAGCUGGCAAACUAAGUGAGCUAGACUUUGUUUGGUAAUUCCAUAUGUCGAUAACAUCGUUUGUUUGUCACUGGUAUGGGAUAUAUCCUAAACCUAGACAGUGAUAGCAGCAAGCGAAAACCAGCGAGAGGGGGGAGAUAAUUCAGGUACUGUUUCAUCUGCUGCUGGUUUGAUAACGUUUUUCCACAUGCAAUUGAUUAAAUGAGAUUUGUAUUCUCUAAAGAUUGUAAUUGUGUUCAUAUCUGAUGAAUUUUGAAGAAAAAUCCUCACAGCCGUUUUCCACACCUAAAUGUGAACUACAAUUUGGUGCGCACCCUUUUACUAUGUACAGUAGGCAGUAAGCUUCCCAUGUGUCAUCAAAAUUACGAUCUUGUGCUAGUGGUUUAUAUAUGGGGGGAGUAUAAAUUGUACAAUUGUAAACGAAUAAAUAAUGGUUCAGGUUAGAACCCAUGUAUAUUAGUUAAUAUACUGCACCAACUACAUAAAUAUAUGAUCGGGUCCAUUGUCUUCUAUUUGGACUUUAAAACGCAGACAGCGCCGCCAUUUUACCAGCUCGUGAGAUUUUUUGUUUGAUACACAAAACCAAUAACAUUAAACGAACUCAGAAAUCUCAAACAAAUUAAAUAUUUUUUAAUUACCUUGACGAAAUUGUGUACAUUAAGUCAGACAAACCCAAAAUCUCAAGUUAUAUGACUUGGAAAAUCGUUUUCAUCACGACACAAAUUUAACAUAAGAAACCAGGCAAUCCCUUGACGGAUUUGUAACCUGUCAUGUUAUGACAUGUUCUGUCGAUUUUGGAUAGCACGUUUAAACUAUUACCUACCUGCAGUAAUAAUUAGAAACGGAGACCAAAAGCAUCGUCUUUAAGGCACAGAUUCUGGACAAUGGUGCGCGGCCAUAGAGAUAGAUAGAGGACUCAUCUUUGUAUCUGUGUCAUUAUAGCGUCUGUGACAGAAUUCGCAGCGGCAUUGAGGGGAUUCGAUUAAUCUGGCCUGGGGUCCCGGACAGGCGUGUUUAGCACGGGGUAAAAGUUGAUGGCAUUCAUUUUGGUUUUGGCCAGGUGCCACAUUCAAAGCCCACAGCUAAACAAAGGUGAUGUAAUUAAGCACUUGGAGAAAUGAGUAGGAUUCUGUGUUUUCACAUGAAAAAGUUAUUGCUUUUGAUAAAAUGAUUUAUCUGCCUUCCCAAUGAAACCUGGUUAAAAAAAAAUCUAUCAAAUAUUUGAUGGAAAAGAGAUGUUUCUGGAUGAUGCACCUUGUUGACAAAAUGACCGAAAGGCACAGAUUACUGUUGCUAUUUGAGAAGGGCGCUAACCUCUUGCCACAUUUGCCUGUUCACCGUUUACAUCACAGGCCAUAAAACGGUGCCCUGUGGCUCAGCAUAAUUGAAUCCGCACAUUCUCCAUUUGAAGCAGUACAUUUUCUUUACAAUUGGCUUAUCCCUACUGAUGAGCCAGCUGGAGAUUCCAACAGGGUCAGGAGGGAUCAGCCAAUGAAGUUGGAAAUACCACCCAGUUGACUACAUUAAAAUGGUGGAAGCCAGCAAUGCAUUGAGUUAUAAUAAGAACGAGAGACAGCCUCCAAGAUGGCCGACCGUUGUUUUAAAUGUAAUCUACUCACGGUCAGAUACGCCUAUUCAAGGAGGCUGACAUCUUGCUAGUUCUGGAUUCAGGAGCCCAUUAGUAAAUGCCAGUGACGGUCUGCCGUUUAAGACAAGUGAGGACAGGUUUUUUUUUUUAAAUGAGCAUGGCCUUAUUUCUAUACCAGCAUAUUGGAUGACUAUCGUUCAUAUGCCAUUCACCCAGCUCAAUGUAACAUCAAUAAGUUUAGGCUACUACAUGAUACUCUAAUUUUCCCUAUACCCAUCAAGAGGUUGCUACUGUAACCGAUGUGAAAUGGCUAGCUAGUUAGCGGUGGUGUGCGCUAGCAGCCUUUCAGUCGGUGACGUCACUUGCUCUGAGACCUUGAAGUAGUGGUUCCCCUUGCUCUGCCUUUGUGGCGCGAUGGGUAAAGAUGCUUUGUGGGAGACUGUUGUUGAUGUGUGCAGAGGGUCCCUGGUUCGAGCGAGGGGACGGACGUAAAGUUAAACUGUUACACUACAACCUAGCCUAUGAAUGAAAGUUUACAAUGUAGGUGCACAGGUCGAGAGGAAUUUGAGUGAUCAUGGUAACAUUGACACAUUCAAUACCGCCUUGCACACUCUUGCCUGUAUCUAGCUGAUCUAGGGUGUAAUCAUUAGUCCAACAGUUGCAAACAAUUGGACAAAUUUUUGACAAAUUCCGGUAUGUUUGUUUGUCUUCGUUUCGUUUGCUUCCAUUUAAGGAACGUUUUUCAACAGAAUCGGCGGAAUGAAUACACCCCUGAUCACACACAAACAGUAGAUCCUGGACUAUCCAUUCACUUCAGUCAGUCUCAUCUUCCAAUGUCAGGAAUCCAUCACAUUGAAUGAGCAGGUCCUGGAUGAGAGUGCGCAAUUCAACUGAUCCCAGGUGCUGCUCCAGGGCGCCGCAGACUGAGAAGAGGUGUGGACUUUUGGUUCGACUCACGAUAUGGAGAGCUGUGAAAGCCUGUCUGCAGAUGGAGAGGUCCCAGUGAAGGUCCCAAGAGACUGUCUGCAGGUGAAGAGGUCCCAGUGAAGGACCAAGAGACUGUCUGUAGAUGAAGAGGUCCCAGUGAAGGUCCAAGCUGUCUGCAGAUGGAAAGGUCCCAGUGAAGGUCCCAAGAGACUGUCUGCAGAUGAAGAGGUCCCAGUGAAGGUCCAAGAGACUGUCUGCAGAUGAAGAGGUCCCAGUGAAGGUCCAAGAGACUGUCUGCAGAUGAAGAGGUCCCAGUGAAGGUUCAAGAGACUGUCUGUAGAUGAAGAGGUCUCAGUGAAGGUUCAAGAGACUGCAGGCACAUCCUUGUGGGCCAUAGGAUUUGUGUGUAUUAUUGUUGGGCCGGAAUAGAAGUCUGCUCACCCAGUAGAGCAGGGAGUGGAUCAAGGUUGGCCACCUCUGGUAUGUAUAUUUUAGUUUUUCUAAAAAUAAUGCUUUAGUAAUAAUAGCAUACUUACUAAGAUGUCUAACAUUUACAAACAAGUUAGCUUAUUUGUACAUUGAAAUUACAUGUUGAUUCAUUCCAUUUUUAUGAAUUGUUAAACUUGUUUUAAUUGUAACGUAAAAACAUUAUUCAAGAUGAACUAGUGUCAAUGUCCAUUAAUUACAGAUCAGAAUUCUACAAUAAAAAGGUGUG
Salvelinus fontinalis (brook trout) is the source of this 3404-nucleotide long non-coding RNA. RefSeq lists it as uncharacterized. NCBI's taxonomy places the organism in Eukaryota, Metazoa, Chordata, Actinopteri, Salmoniformes, Salmonidae. The transcript has 3 exons. The record is from RefSeq and is a predicted model, not a curated record.